RNAcentral lists this long non-coding RNA (388 nucleotides) under Anser brachyrhynchus (Pink-footed goose). RNAcentral describes it as "lncRNA (ENSABRG00000008461.1)". Lineage: Eukaryota; Metazoa; Chordata; Aves; Anseriformes; Anatidae. The record is from RNAcentral.
AGCUGGUGGGGUCUGGGGCCUGAGAUGUUCUGGCUCUCUGUGACCCAAGAGAGCAGUGAGUUGACUUCCUGAGCACACAGCGGAGGGAGGAGGCCGGAGUUUUGGAGCCUUUUUGUAGAUGCUCGGAUACAUUGGCUGUGAAGGAGCCAUCAGCUCCGCCUGCGUGAAGCAAGCCAGAUGCCUGCGACGGGGGAAGAGACGGCUCUGUCCCUGUAAUCAGCUUUGCUGAGGUCCUGAGGCUCGGGGCUGCCGUGCGAGAGAAGCUCCCACGGCAGAGCCGUGUGCCAGGCAGGCAGCUGGCUGCGGGGCUCCGCGUGCAGGGACUGAAAAGGGAAAAAUAGAGAAAAAAAAAAAUAAAAAGAAAAAAAACUUGGGAGACCUGGGGAAG